GUUGUUGUAGCUUAUUCCAAAGCAUGGCACUGAAGCCGCCAAGAUGGGCAUUAACCGCUCCAAAAACA
This 68-nucleotide transfer RNA is filed under the name Elusor macrurus (Mary River turtle). RNAcentral describes it as "tRNA-Phe". The record is from RNAcentral. Lineage: Eukaryota; Metazoa; Chordata; Testudines; Chelidae.